Molecule: long non-coding RNA, 1184 nt
Organism: Frankliniella occidentalis (western flower thrips)
Lineage: Eukaryota; Metazoa; Arthropoda; Insecta; Thysanoptera; Thripidae
Exons: 6
Source: RefSeq, a predicted model, not a curated record
CGGACGGCGCCGCGGGCCGCGCGCGUUCCGCCGAUAAAAUGGAACAGAGCCCGGUCCCGCCGGCAUUCAUCAUCCUUCCUAGAGAGAAUCAAGGGAUUAUUUUCGGCCAACAAUCGACAGCGAGAACAAUGGUCGGCGGGGAUGUCCAGCGGGGAGAGAGCGAGAGAGGGCCAGAGGGACUGACGGGCGCGACCGAGCAGCGCCAUCAUCAUGGAGGACCAGGACGCCGCCGUCGAGGCCGAGGCUGACAACCAGGACCCCGCCGCCGUGGCGGCGCCGGACCAGCAAAGUCUCACUCCACAAGAGCCAGCACCACCAACAUCACCACCGGAGCCGGCGCCUGCACAGCCGCAGCAGCAGCAGCAGCAGCAGCAGCAGCCACAGCAGCAGCCCCAGGCGUCGCGCAGCGAGCAAGACUACCAGACCCACCUCGACGCCAUGGACACCGAGUUUAUCUACUACGCGACUGCGCUGAGGGAGCUGAGCGGGCACCUGCGCGCGGCCGAGCAGCGCGCCAGCCUGGAGCAGUGGGUGCGGAGGCUCUUCAGCCCCGAGUACUGCGGGGAGUCGCUCAAGGACCGUCGGAACAGGUCGGGCCACCGUCGUCGUCGUCGCCGUCAUCGGCCAUACCAUCGCCGGCCAUAUCAUGGGACGGCGUGUCGUAAAGAGAGAUCGCUGCUCGCAUCGCAAAAAGGCUGGUGUGCCACCUCGUCGUGUGGCUCGGCGCGGCGCUGGCGGGCGACGGCGACGACGUGCUGCCCGAGUGCCCCGCCCGAGGCGCCCCACCCGCGCCCUGGGAGCGCGCCCCGCCCGCCGCACCACCCGCCGCCUGGGAGACCGACAACCAGUGGCUGCACUUCCUCAAAGGGGUGCCGACCAGGGUGCGGGCGCGCUGCGAGGAGCACGGCGGCGACUGUCCCCCGAGCACCACGGCGGGCUGCGGCUGGGACCUGGACCAGGAGCUGAAGGUGAUCCUGCACCUGGCCGGGCCGCUGCGCCCGCACCUCGGCUCGGCGGGCGAGCGCCGCCUGUGCGGCCAGUGGCUGCGCUAUCUGAGCUCCGUCACCCCCGAGGACUGCCUGGACCUGCGCCGGCGCCGCAACGUGUACGCCCGGGUGCUGCUCGGUUACCUCCACGGCGGUGAGCUGCUGGGCCCCUUCUGCAGCGAGCCCCCCUGGGGAGAG